This 440-nucleotide ribosomal RNA is filed under the name uncultured bacterium. Its description in RNAcentral is "partial 16S ribosomal RNA". It matches the Rfam family "Bacterial small subunit ribosomal RNA", at positions 338 to 795 of the family's 1533-position model. The record is from RNAcentral.
CCUACGCGCGGCAGCAGUAGGGAAUUUUGCGCAAUGGGCGAAACCCUGACGCAGCAACGCCGCGUGAUCGAGACGCCCUUCGGGGUGUAAAGAUCUGUCAGUGGGGACGAAACUUGACGGUACCCACAGAGGAAGCACCGGCUAACUUCGUGCCAGCAGCCGCGGUAAUACUGGGGGUGCAAGCGGUGUCCGGAAUCAUUGGGCGUAAAGAGUUCGUAGGCGGGAACUAAACGCUGGUGUUCAAGGCAGAGGCUUAAAUUUGUUACGGCACUGAAUACUGGAGAGCUGGAAUGAGGUAGAGGCAAGGGGAAUUCCUGGUGUAGCGGUGAAAUGCUUAGAUAUCAGGAGGAACACCAGUGGCGUAAGCGCUUUACUGGGCCGUAAUUGACGCUGAGGAACGAAAGCGAGGGUAGCAAAUGGGAUUAGAUACCCUAGUAGUC